GAAGGUCCAACCACUGAUGCCAGAAAAGCUGACAGCACUCCUGAGCCACUGGCCUUCUCCAGACACACACAUGGGCUACAAACAGCAGAGCACAUUUAAACAUCCAGAAGUCAUGUUCAGGUGAACUAAUGAUGACGCUGUCAGCUGCAUAGCUAUAUGGUCAGCUGUGCCUGACGUCAUCAGCUGCAGCCUGUCUGUGUCUUUCUCCUGGGCGUCAACCAAUAGGAAAGAGUCCUCCGCCGGCUCGUAAACUUCUCGGAAGCCUCCUCUUCCAGCGUGCCAGUAAACUGGUGUGGGAUAACUUGCAGACAUGUUCUCUUCAGUUACCAGACUCGCUAUCCACCUGCACGUGCUCCUGGCUCACCAUUUAUUCGUCUUAACUGCGUACUGUAAUUGCUGGAGGUGGUGGCUGAGGUGGUGGCAGAGUCGAAUAAGCAUCAGCCCUUCACCCAGGAGACUCGGGUUCACAUCCAGCAUGCCCCAGCAGGAUGCACACAAGGUAAGGAGCCGGCGCUGAGCUCUUUCUCUUCUUCCUCCUGCUCCCAGGUGUUGGGAAAUGAUGUUACCUGGGAAAUACCAGCCUGAAUUAAACCACAUGAAAUAAAACUGCUGAUUAUCCCUCCUGAGGCAACAGGACACGCUGUGUUCAUAAUGUGAAUUAAACAUUUCAUGCUGAAUCACCUCCCACGAUGCACACUUUGUCCUAACUUGAAGAUGUUCUAUGUCAUUUGAAGUUCUAAUACUGGAUGUGAUUAUAACAUGAUACGCUGUGCUUAACCACCAUACUGUCUCCGCUUCUACAGUGAUUCUAGUGACUUGCACACAUUUCAACAGUUUUGAUACAACAUUAUGUGACAGCUAACCUGUUGUGAUGGAUUGAA
Long non-coding RNA from Sander lucioperca (pikeperch), 881 nucleotides. RefSeq lists it as uncharacterized. NCBI's taxonomy places the organism in Eukaryota, Metazoa, Chordata, Actinopteri, Perciformes, Percidae. The transcript has 3 exons. The record is from RefSeq and is a predicted model, not a curated record.